This 529-nucleotide long non-coding RNA is filed under the name Capsella rubella. RNAcentral's name for it is "long non-coding RNA (CRUB_LNC003559)". The record is from RNAcentral. Lineage: Eukaryota; Viridiplantae; Streptophyta; Magnoliopsida; Brassicales; Brassicaceae.
AUUAACCAAACCGUAUAAACUAAACUAAAAACAUGAUUUGGUUAUUAGACUAUAUAAAGACAUUGUGAAACAAUAUAUUAUAUAGGGUUAUGGUUUUAUGUCAAUUACAAGUAGGUAAGCUAUCUUUCUAACUCUAAAUAAACACAACAAAGCCUUGCAAAAAAAAAAAAAGUUGAUUCAUUAAUUCUUAACAACUGAAAUCUUGGAUACUAACUAAUAACACAACUUUGUCCUAUUAAUUUGUGGGACAAACAACAGAAUUCAAAUUGGCUAAUGAGGACAAGAUUUUAAAACCCUACCAAUUUUUAAAAGAAUGUGAGUAUCAUUAAUUUAUAUAUCGAGUUGAUAUGAUGGGCUAAGCUUAGAGGAAUAAUUUUAUAUAGUAGUAUACAUUGACAUAAAAGCAAAUUCCAUUAAGAGAAAAAAGGAAAAAGAGUGAAGAAAAAAGAAAGAAAGAAGGAUUCUUGCUUCGAAGGCCCGUAGUUGAAGCCGUUGGCAGAGAUAGAGAGAGAGAGAGGCUACACUGCUC